Molecule: long non-coding RNA, 4894 nt
Organism: Amphiprion ocellaris (clown anemonefish)
Lineage: Eukaryota; Metazoa; Chordata; Actinopteri; Pomacentridae
Source: Ensembl
AAAAAGGAUCUAAAAUUACAAAUGAACAAUAAAUCCUCCCGUUUGUUUUUCUUUUGCAUUUCUUCGGGCUCCAGCUCCGACUCCCCGACCAGCAGCAGGCCGAGGUCCGCUGCCUGCUGAGCGCGGAGCAGAGCCGAGCGACCCGGUGUCCUCCGCAGCCUCCACCGGGGUCUGAACGCCUCCAUCCGCUCUCAGCUCCGCCUCGGUCCCCGGGCAGUCGUCCAACCAACCAACCCCCCCAGCGGAAACCUUCCCGCAUUACAGCGUCCGAACCCGGCGGAGCCCUGGUCCAUGUGGGCACCGGGCAGCCGGGGCGAGCGCAACUCCUUCUGGCCGAGCAGAGCGCCCCAGAGGCGGGGGGAUGGAGCCGCUCUGUCCGCCCCUCUGGAGAGGGUGGGUCCGCAGACCCCACGCUGCUGUAGGUCGGUGUUAGUGUCACUCAGGAGUCGGAUGAUGCUCCGUUUUUCUUAGUUAAACCCCUUUAGAGGUGAUCAGUGACCACAGAGUGAGAGAAACUAACUGCUCGCUGGAAAACUAACUUUGAUUUUUACUGAAUGGAGUCAGACAGAAGGACCAGCUCUGUGGACAUUUGGACAAUUUCUGCAUCAUUUUGGACAAAUGUUGAUUCAUUUUGGGACAAAUUUUGAGUGAUUUUAGGAACAUUUUGAGUUAUUGUAGGAACUUUUCGAGCCAUUUGGAAUAAGUUUGCAUCAUUUUGGACAAAUUUUGUGUAAUUUGGGGAACAUUUUGAGUAAUUUUGGGAACUUUUUGAGCCAUUUGACCAAAUUUUCCAUCAUUCUGGACAAAUUUUGAUAGAUUUUGGGAACAUUUUGUGAAAUUCUGGGAACUUUUUUGAGCCAUUUGGACAAAUUCUACAUCAUGUUGGACAAAUAUUGAGUAAUUUGGGGAACUCUGUGAGUUAUUUUGGGAACCUUUUGAGCCAUUUGGACAAAUUUUAAGUAAUUCUGGGACCAUUUUGAGCUAUUUAUGAAAUGUUUAUUUUUCUCCUCUCUCUCCUGUUCAUCUACUUGACUGAAGCAGAUGAACAGCUCCUGAUGUCUCUGACUGGAGCUUUAGUUUGUGCUGAGCUGCUAACAGAGAACAUCUGGAUGUGCUGAGCUGCUGACAGAGAACAUCUGGAUGUGUUGAGCUGCUAACAGGGAACAUCUGGAUGUGUUGAAGCUGCUAACAGGGAACAUCUGGAUGUGUUGAAGCUGCUGACAGAGAACAUCUGGAUGUGUUGAAGCUGCUGACAGAGAACAUCUGGAUGUGUUGAGCUGCUAACAGGGAACAUCUGGAUGUGUUGAAGCUGCUAACAGGGAACAUCUGGAUGUGUUGAAGCUGCUGACAGAGAACAUCUGGAUGUGUUGAAGCUGCUGACAGAGAACAUCUGGAUGUGCUGAGCUGCUCUGUUGAACUGUGUGUUGGUGUUUAAUCUUUGUAACCCACAGAUGGAGCUGCUGUUCAAACAGUGCUGAGUGGGCGUUCCUGUUCCUGCAGGCUGGGCUUUGCUUUGGCUCUUGUUUUUGUGUCCUCUCCGCCUACUUGUUGAGUUCUUGUGUAACCGUCGGGUGUGUUGUCGUCGUGUUGUUGUUGUUGUUGAAGAGCAGCUGAUCAUGGACACACUGCCAUGUGGGUUGCUGACCGUCUGCUGGUGUGCGUUUUGUGUCACAGCUGAAGUCCACAGACAGAUGGAAGCCGUCGCUGGAGACGAUGUUCUUCUCGACUGUCGGUCUCUCCACAAUGACGUCACACUUCUGGAGUGGAUCAGACCCGACCUGAAGGCCGACGGAUACGUUUUCUUCUACCGCGAGAGGCGCUCGUAUGAAAACUAUCAGCAUCCAUAUUUUAAUGGCCGAGUGAAGCUGGGAGAUCUGCGGAUGGAAAACGGAAAUAUGUCUGUCCUCCUGACCAACGUACAGCCAGAUACAGACAACGGAACAUACCUGUGUGAUGUUUCUGGAGGAACCAAACGAAGAGGCAGGACAACUUCUUCUGAGAUCAAGCUGACCGUUUCCCCUGCAAAACCCAGAAACAUUCAGAAACAAAUCUGGAAUGGAGGAAACAAGGAUGGAGGAAACAGGGAUGGAGGAAAUAAGGAUGGAGGAAAUAAGGAUGGAGGAGACAAGGAUGGAAAUAAUCGAAGGCGUAAUGGAUUGAUAGUGUUUCUGUCACUUUCUGUUGCGAUGGCUUUUCUUGUUUUCAUUGUAAUCCGUAAAGAACAUAUGCCGAUCUCGAAAGAACAGAGGAAGAAUUCAGUUCCUCCUGAUGGAGCAGCAGCUGAACAGAUGUUGUGAAAGUUUUUCUGGACAGCAGCAGAACAAAGCACAGCUUCUGUAACUCUGAUGGAACCAGCAGCAGCAGAACAAAGAGAAUCCAGGUGUGGACCAACCAUGUGGUCUCUCCUUUAACUGCCACCUUAUGGUGGUGGAGGGUUUGUGAGCUCAGAGGAUGCUGGGAGAUCUGCUGUCUGGAGUUCAGCUCCUGGUAGGGUUUCUGUUGGCAGACUGGUCCAGAAACAUCAAGUCCUCCCAACAUCUCCAUCAUCUAGAUUUAUCCUGUGGAUUGUUGCUGCUGCUGCUGCUGCUGGUCUUCAUCAACUUUUCUACUCUGUUGGUUUGUCUGUAAACACUUCGCUGUUCAGAUCACUUCACUACCUUCCAGUUGCUGCCCGCAUAAAGUUCAAAACUAGAAUGAAAAAAUCUCCCUCCUACCUGAACUCUCUCAUCCAGAUCUACACUCCCUCCCUCCAACCACAGGUUCCUGGUCCAUCCAGGUCUACACUCCCUCCAACCGAAGGUUCCUGGUCCAUCCAGGUCUACACUCCCUCCAACCGAAGGUUCCUGGUCCAUCCAGGUCUAGACUCCCUCCCUCCAACCAGAGGUUCCUGGUCCAUCCAAGUCUACACUCCCCCACCUCCAACCACAGGUUCCUGGUCCAUCCAGGUCUGGACUCCCUCCCUCCAACCAAAGGUUCCUGGUCCAUCCAGGUCUAGACUCCCUCCCUCCAACCAAAGGAUUCUAAUCCAACCUCCACAGAGGUCCAGAGAUCUUCUCCUCUGUGGUUCCUCGGUGGUGGAACCAGUUGCCAAACUCUGUUCAGUCUUUAAGAAAAGACUAAAAACCAGAUCUUCACUGAACACCUUUAACUUGACAGACUGCAAAAAUAAAAAUAAAAAUAAAAAAAUCCUAGUACGUCUACUUCCUGUAGACACCACAGUUCUAUUAUCACACCUGAACUUGUUUCAUGGCUCUUAUCUGGGUUAUUUUCUCCUGACUAGAUCGUUGCUGGUGGUGGAUCUACUCUCAGAUGGACGUCUUUGGAAUGGAUACCGGAUCAUGUGACCUAAAUAUGUAGCGGGUGGCGGGAAUUGAUGGGACUCAGAAACACCCCCACAAUUUAAUCAGUUGUUCCUUGGAUCAUUUCUGAUGGAUAAGUCCUGAUAAGUCCUCAGUGGUGGAUUUGUAGUAGGAUCACAAUCAUGUGAUCAUGUAGCAUUCAUUUGUUGUCAUGGUUACAGUGACGCCGUGCCGCUAUCUGGCAAUGAUACAGAAAUCUUUAACUAAUCUGUAGAUCCAGACUAGGAGCUGCAUCACUGCCAAAAUCUAAUCACUUGGUCCUUGUGUCAUUUCUGACCUUCAAUGGAAAUUUCAUCCACAUCUGUUUAUGAGUGAUGUUGCUAACAGACAGACAGACAGACAGACAGACAGACAGACAGACAGACAGACGUACACCGAUCAUCACAUAACUCCACCGUUCUUUGGCGAAGUUGUGCGACGAUCACUGGAAAUAAAUCUGGAAAUAAAUGUGUUCCAAAGCUCUGCAUGUUAGAACCUGAUGAAAUGUUGUGGAUGUAAAGUGUUCUGUCAGAUGAGAUCAGAACCACAUAGAAAAGUUCUGAUUGUCCAGAAUGAAGCACAACUGAUGAACAGAACUUUAGAUUGAACUUGUUUUAUUGUUUAAUCUGUUAGUAGCUCUGAUGAUGGUCUAAACUGUCGUACAGGAUAAGCUAAUUUGAUAUAUUUUGUACAUUUUUAUACUACUCAGUGGUCUGUAAGUUUCAUCUUCAUCCUAUAUCAUGUUUUGUUGUUAGUCUGCAGAUAAAUGUAGUCCAGUAAAAUAACAUUGUUUGCUACUGAACUGUAGUGAAGGUUGAAUAGAAUAAACUGAACUGAUGCUGAUAGAAUUCUGUUUAUACUAUAACACAAUGGAAAUAUGGAACUUUACUGCUGCUUUUUGCACUUUGGCUUUGAUGCAAAACUGUUUGUCUUUGUUCUUGUAUUUGGACAGUAAAGUUGAAUCUACUCAGUGAUCUGUGCUUCAUUAUAAUUUCUGUAAAUAUAUUUAGGAUUUUAAAGCUGGUUUCUUUUCUGCAGCAGUGAUAAUAAAGGUUGUUUCCCCAGAUUGUGAUCCUGCUGGUUCAUGUCUGACUACAACCUGUUGAACUGGUUCAGAACAAACAUAGAUCAGGAGUUUCUACAGGAUCAGUCCAUAGAGAUUUUAUAAAACCAGUAAUAUAAUAAUGUGCUGUGUGGACAGAGCUGCACUUUAUUGUUGAACUGUGUGUAUUAGAGGUGUGUGUUGUGUUUCAUCUCCAUGCUGUCUGAGGAUCAUAGAACUGGACCGUCCUCAUUGACGUGGAGUUUAACCCUCUAAUCUCCAAAACCACUCAUCUGUAAUAUUUUAAAAAUGCCAGACAUUUAUUCUGAAAGUUUAGUUCCUCUUCCUGUAGCUCAGCUCUGAGUUUUGAACACAAACAUGAAGAAGUAGUUUGUUGUUCUCAGACCACAUUAACACGACUCUGCUGGAUGAAGACUGUUUUGUUGAUCACAGAUCUGUGCAGCACAAGAACAAACUCUGGAACUUCAUUAAAUGUUUUGAAUUUCAAAUGUGG